This is a long non-coding RNA of Ictalurus furcatus (blue catfish), 654 nucleotides long. RefSeq lists it as uncharacterized. The record is from RefSeq and is a predicted model, not a curated record. NCBI's taxonomy places the organism in Eukaryota, Metazoa, Chordata, Actinopteri, Siluriformes, Ictaluridae. The transcript is spliced from 2 exons.
AGAGUUUUGGUGGGCUUUUGUGUGCUGCUCAUCGCUGCCACUGUUGUUGUAUAAGCACAAAUGGUGCUUGUCUGCUGCCAGGCACACUGAGCUUUUUGUUAUGCCGUUAACCAGAUUUCCCCAUGAAAGCUCUCUCCGCUCUCUUGCUCUCAGAGCUGUGAGCUUGGCACAGGGAAGCAGGGAAGGAUGAAGUGAGAGGGAGGAUCAUGGAGGAACAGGGAGCCAUAUGAUUCUGCGUGCUUGGUUGGGUGUAUGAGAGAGAGAUGAAGCGGGGAAAAACAGCACACUGAGACAUGCUGGAACCCAUCCUGGCUAAAAGCGGAUCCUGUUGGACACGCAUGCUAUCCCAGAAAAUAAAUCAGCCAGGACAGGAGGGGACACGCACACACACGGUGCACUACAAGCCAACGCUCGGUGCUAUUAAUUAGCCCAACCGAGAGUCAUUUAUCACGGUGGCAAUAAGGUGAAAAAGUCAAGAGUUUAUUACAGCUCGCACAAUGCCGAGGCCACAGCUCGGGGACCACACACACGCUUUAAAAUGGUUUAGGUGAAUAAUAAAAACUGACAUAAAUACAUAAAUAAGUUAAAUAUUCCAUUUUAAAAUGAGUGCAAAUUUUUUUUUUUUUUUUUUUUUUUUGUUGUUGUUGGUCAAAA